GAAUAAAAGACAAUUAUCAUGAACAAGGAAAUAUAAUAAUACUUUUAUUAUUGCCUCUAGGGCAUAUUUCCAACAGUCUCCCACUUGCACUAGAGUCAAUAAUCUAGUUCACAUCGCCAUGUGAUUAACAUUGACAGGUCACAUCGCCAUGUAACCAACAUCCAAAGAGUUUACUAGUGUCAUUAAACUAGUUCACAUCAUCAUGUGAUUAAGACUCAAUGAGUUCUGGGGUUUGAUCAUGUUUUGCUUGUGAGAGAGGUUUUAGUCAACGGGUCUGCAACUUUCAGAUCCGUAUGUACUUCGCAAAUCUCUGGGUCAUAUUGUAAAUGCAGCUUUCAACGCUCCACUUGGAUCUAUUCCAAAUGGUUGCUCCACUAUACGUAUCCGGUUUGCUACUCAGAGUCACUCGGAUAGGUGUUAAAGCUUGCAUCGACGUAAUCCUUUACGCCGAACUCUUUAUCACCUCCAUAAUCGAGAAACAUGUCCUUAUUUACUCCAAGGACAAUUUUGACCGCUGUCCAAUGAUCCAUUCGUGGAUCAUUCUUGUACCCCUUGACUGACUCAUGGCAAGGCACACUUCCGGUGCGGUACACAGCAUAGCAUACUGUAGAGCCUAUGUAUAAAGCAUAGGGGACGACCUUCGUCCUUUCUCUCUCUUCUGCCGUGGUCGAGCUUUAAGUCUUAACUUCAUACCUUACAUCUUAGGCAAGAACUCCUUCUUUGACUGAUCCAUCUUGAACACCUUCAAGAUCAUGUCAAGGUACGUGCUCAUUUGAAAGUACUAUUUAGCAUUUUGAUCUAUCUUAUAGAUCUUGAUGCUUAUUGUUCAAGUAGCCUAAUCCAGGUUUUCCAUUGAAAAACACUUUUCAAAUAACCCUAUAUGCUUUCCAGAAAUUCUACAUCAUUUCUGAUCAACAAUAUGUCAAUAACAUAUACUCAUCAGAAAUUCUAUAGUGCUCCCACUCACUUCUUUGGAAAUACAAGUUUCUCAUAAAUUUGUAUAAACCUAAAAUCUUUGAUCAUCUUAUCAAAGUGCACAUUCCAACUCCGAGAUGCUUACUCCAAUCCAUGGAAGGAUCGCUGGAGCUAGCAUACCUUUUAGCAUCCUUAGGAUCGACAAAACCUUUCUGAUUUUAUCGCAUACAACCUUUCCUUAAAAGACUGGUAAGGAAACUCAUUUUGACAUCCAUCUGCUAGAUUUCAUAAAUGCAGCUAAUGCUAACAUGAUUCCGACGGACUUAAGCAUCGCUACGGAUGAGAAAAUCUCAUCAUAGUCAACUCUUUGAACUUGUGAAAAACUCUUCGCCACAAGUCGAGCUUCAUAGACGGUGACAUUACCGUCCACGUCCGUCUUCUUCUUAAAGAUCCAUUUAUCUCAAUGGCUUGCCGAUCAUCGGGCAAGUCCACCAAAGUCCAUGCUUUGUUCUGAUACAUGGAUCCUAUCUCGGAUUUCAUGGCUUCUAACCAUUUGUCGGAAUUUGGGCCCACCAUUGCUUCUCCAUAGCUCGUAGGUUCAUCGUUGCCUAGCAACAUGUCCUUCAAGACAGGAUUACUGUACCACUCUGAAGCAGUACGCAUCCUUGUCACCCUACGAGAUACGGUAGUGACUUGAUCUGAAGUUUCAUGAUCGCUAUCAUAAGCUUCUUACUUCAAUUGGUGUAGGUGCCACAGGAACAAGUUCGUGUGCCCUGCUACACACUAGUUGUAGUGACGGUUCAAUAACCAUAUCAAGUCUCCACCAUCCUCCCACUCAACUUUUCGAGACAAACUUUUCCUCGAGAAAGGACCCGAUUCAAGAAACAAUCCCUAUUGCUUUCGGAUCUGAAUUAGGAGGUAUACCCAACUGUUUUGGGUGUCCUAUGAAGAUGCAUUUUAUCCGCUUUGGGUUCGAGCUUACCAACCUGAAACUUUUUCACAUAAGCGUCGCAGCCCCAAACCUUUAAGAAAUGACAGCUUAGGUUUCUCUAAACCAUAGUUCAUACGGUGUCAUCUCAACGGAAUUACGUGGUGCCCUAUUUAAAGUGAAUGUGGUUGUCUCUAAUGCCUAACCCAUAAACGAUAGUGGUAAUUCGAUAAGAGACUUCAUGGUACGCACCAUAUCCAAUAGGGUGCAACUAUGAUGUUCAGACACACCAUCAAACUAUGGUGUUCCAGGCGGUAUUAAUUGUGAAACAAUUUCCACAAUGUCUUGAUUGUGUGCCAAACUCGUAACUCAGAUACUCAUCUUUAUGAUCAUAUCAUGGACAUUUCAUCCUCUUGUCACGAUGAUCUUCAACUUCACUCUGAAAUUACUUGAACCAUUCAAUAAUUCAGACUUGUGUUUCAUCAAGUAAACAUACUCUAAAUCUACUCGAAUCAUCUGUGAAGUAAGAACAUAACGAUAUUCACUGCAUGCCUCAGCACUCAUUGGACUGCACACAUCAAAAUGUGUUACUUCCAACAAGUUGCUAUCUUGUUCCAUUUUACUGAAAAACGAGGCUUUUUAGUCAUCUUGCCCAUGUGGUAUGAUUUGCAUAUCUCAAGUGAUUCAAAAUCAAGUAAGUCCAAAUGAUCCAUCUGCAUGGAGUUUUCUUCAUGCGUAUACACCAAUAGACGUGGUUCACAUGUCUCAAACUUUUCAAAAACGAGUGAGUCCAAAGAUCCAUCAACAUGGAGCUUCUUCAUGCGUUUUAUACCAAUAUGACUUACAUGGCAGUGCCACAAGUAAGUGGUACUAUCAUUACUAUCUUAUAUCUUUUGGCAUGAAAAUGUGUAUCACUAUGAUCGAGAUUCAAUAAACCAUUUGUUUCAGGUGCAAGACCUUUGAAGGUAUUAUUCAAAUGAACAGAGUAACCAUUAUUCUCCUUAAAUGAAUAACCGUAUUGCGAUAGACAUAAUCCAAUCAUGUCUAUGCUCAACGCAAACACCAAAUCUCGAUGGUAGAGGGAGCGUGCGAUGCUUGAUCACAUCAACCUUGGAAAUACUUCCAACACAUAUCAUCAGCUCACUUUUAGCUAGUCUCCGUUUAUUCCGUAGCUUUUAUUUCGAGUUACUAACACUUAGCAACCAAACCGGUAUCUAAUACCCUGGUGCUACUAGGAGUACUAGUAAAGUACACAUUAACAUAAUGUAUAUCCAAUAUACUUCUAUCGACCUUGCCAGCCUUCUCAUCUACCAAGUAUCUAGAGUAAUUCCGCUCCAGUGGUUGUUCCCCUUAUUAUAGAAGCACUUAGUCUCGGGUUUGGGUUCAACCUUGGGUUUCUUCACUGGAGCAGCAGCUGAUUUGCCGUUUCAUGAAGUAUCCCUUCUUGCCCUUGCCCUUCUUGAAACUAGUGGUUUCACAAACCAUUAACAAUUGAUGCUCCUUCUUGAUUUCUACUUUCGCGGUGUCAAACAUCGUGAAUGGCUCAAGGAUCAUCAUAUCUAUCCCUGAUUUGUUAUAGUUCAUCACGAAGCUCUAGCAGCUUGGUGGCAAAUGACUUUGGAGAAACAUCACUAUCUCAUCUGGAAGAUUAACUCCCACUCGAUUCAAGUGAUUGUUGCACUCAGACAAUCUGAGCACAAGCUCAACGAUUGAGCUUUUCUCACUUAGUUUGCAGGCUAAGAAAAUCGUCGGAGGUCUCAUACCUCUUGACGUGGGCACGAGCCUGAAAUCUCAAUUUCAGCCCUCGAAACAUCUCAUAUGUUCCGCGACAUUUCGAAAACGUCUUUGGUGCCUCAACUCUAAACCGUUUAACUGAACUAUCACGUAGUUAUCAAAACGUGUAUGUCCGAUGUUCGCAACAUCCACAAACGACGUUUGGGGUUCAGCACACUGAGCGGUGCAUUAAGGACAUAAGCUUUCUACUGUUCGCAUAAUCGCUACUGUCAACUUUCAACUAUAUUUUCUCUAGGAACAUAUCUAAACAGUGGAACUAAAGCGCGAGCUUACGACAUAAUUUGCAAAGAUCUUUUUGACUAUGUUCAGGAUAAUUAAGUUCAUCUUAUGAACUCCCACUCAGAUAGACAUCCCUCUGGUCAUCUAAGUGAUUACAUGAUCCAAGUCAACUAGGCCGUGUCCGAUCAUCACGUGAGACGGACUAGUCAUCAUCGGUGAACAUCUUCAUGUUAAUCGUAUCUACUAUACGACUCAUGCUCGACCUUUCGGUCUCUGUGUUCCGAGGCCAUGUCUGUACAUGCUAGGCUCGUCAAGUUAACCCUAAGUGUUUUCGCUGUUUAAAACUGUCUUACACCCGUUGUAUGUGAACGUAAGAAUCCAUCACACCCGAUCAUCACGUGGUGCUUAGAAGCGACGAACUGUAGCAUCGGUGCACAGUCAGGGGAGAACACUUCUUGAAAUUUUGUAAGGGGUCAUCUUAUUUACUACCGUCGUCCUAAGUAAACAAGAUGCAUAAACAUGAUAAACAUCACAUGCAAUCAAAUAGUGACAUGAUAUGGCCAAUAUCAUUUUGCUCCUUUUGAUCUCCAUCUUCGGGGCUCCAUGAUCAUCAUCGUCACCGGCAUGACACCAUGAUCUCCAUCAUCAUGAUCUCCAUCAUCGUGUCUCCAUGAAGUUGUCUCGCCAACUUAUUACUUCUACUACUAUGGCUACCGGUUAGCAAUAAAGUAAAGUAAUUACAUGGCAUUGUUAAAUGACACGCAGGUCAUACAAUAAAUUAAGACAACUCCUAUGGCUCCUGCCGGUUGUCAUACUCAUCGACAUGCAAGUCGUGAUUCCUAUUACAAGAACAUGAUCAAUCUCAUACAUCACAUAUCAUUCAUCACAUUCUUCUUGGCCAUAUCACAUCACAUAGCAUACCCUGCAAAAACAAGUUAGACGUCCUCUAAUUGUUGUUUGCAUGUUUUACGUGGCUGCUAUGGGUUUCUAGCAAGAACGUUUCUUACCUACGCAAAACCACAACGUGAUAUGUCAAUUGCUAUUUACCCUUCAUAAGGACCCUUUUCAUCGAAUCUGUUCCGACUAAAGUGGGAGAGACUGGCACCCGCUAGCCACCUUAUGCACGAAGUGCAUGUCAAUCGGUGGAACCUGUCUCAUGUAAGAGUACGUGUAAGGUCGGUCCGGGCCGCUUCAUCCCACAAUACCGUCGAAACAAGAUUGGACUAGUAACGGUAAGCAUAUUGAACAACAUCAACGCCCACAACUACUUUGUGUUCUACUCGUGCAAAGAAUCUACGCAAUAGACCUAGCUCAUGAUGCCACUGUUGGGGAACGUAGCAGAAAUUCAAAAUUUUCCUACGUGUCACCAAGAUCUAUCUAUGGAGAAACCAGCAAAGAGGGGAAGGAUAGUGCAUCUACAUAACCUUGUAGAUCGCUAAGCAGAAGCGUUCAAGAGAACGGGGUUGAUGGAGUCGUACUCAUCGUGAUCCAAAUCACCGGAGAUCCUAGUGUCAAACGAACGGCACCUCCGCGUUCAACACACGUACAGCCCGGUGACGUCUCCCACGCCUUGAUCCAGCAAGGAGAGAGGGAGAGGUUGAGGAAGACUCCAUCCAGCAGCAACACAAUGGCGUGGUGGUGAUGGAGGAGCGUGGUAGUCCAGCAGGGCUUCGCCAAGCACCGCGAGAUAUGAGGAGAAGGGAGAGAGGUAUGGCUGCGCCAACAGGAGAAGAAAACCAUGUGUUGGGCUGCUCCUAUGCCUCACUAUUUAUAGGGGGAGAGGGGGCUGCGCCCCCACCUAGGUUUCCACCCUAGGGGGCGGCGGCCAGCCCCCAGAUCCCAUCUGGGUGGCGGCCAGAAGGGGAGAAGGGGGGAGGCGCACCCAGGGUGGGCCUUAGGGCCCAUCUGCCCUAGGGUUUGCCCCCUUCCCCACUUCCUGCGCCUUGGGCCCCUUGUGGGGGGCGCACCAGCCCACCUGGGGCUGGUUCCCUCCCACACAUGGCCCAUGCAGCCCUCCGGGGUAGGUGGCCCCACUUGGUGGACCCCCGGGACCCUCCCGGUGGUCCCGGUACGUUACCGAUAUUACCCGAAACUUUUCCGGUGACCAAAACAGGACUUCCCAUAUAUAAAUCUUUACCUCCGGACCGUUCCGGAACUCCUCGUGACGUCCGGGAUCUCAUCCGGGACUCCGAACAACAUUCGGUAACCACAUACAAGCUUCCUUUAUAACCCUAGCAUCAUCGAACCUUAAGUGUGUAGACCCUACGGGUUCGGGAGACAUGCAGACAUGACCGAGACGUUCUCCGGUCAAUAACCAAUAGCGGGAUCGGGAUACCCAUGUUGGCUCCCACAUGUUCCACGAUGAUCUCAUCGGAUGAACCACGAUGUCAAGGACUUAGUCGAUCCCGUAUACAAUUCCCUUUGUCUAGCGGUAUUUUACUUGCCCGAGAUUUGAUCGUCGGUAUACUGAUACCUUGUUCAAUCUCGUUACCGGCAAGUCUCUUUACUCGUUCCGUAACACAUCAUCCCGUGAUCAACCCCUUGGUCACACUGUGCACAUUAUGAUGAUGUCCUACCGAGUGGGCCCAGAGAUACCUCUCCGUUUACACGGAGUGACAAAUCCCAGUCUCGAUCCGUGUCAACCCAACAGACUCUUUCAGAGAUACCUGUAGUGCACCUUUAUAGUCACCCAGUUACGUUGUGACGUUUGAUACACCCAAAGCACUCCUACGGUAUCCGGGAGUUACACGAUCUCAUGGUCUAAGGAAGAGAUACUUGGCAUUAGAAAAGCUCUAGCAAACGAACUACACGAUCUUUGUGCUAUGCUUAGGAUUGGGUCUUGUCCAUCACAUCAUUCUCCUAAUGAUGUGAUCCUGUUAUCAACGACAUCCAAUGUCCAUAGCCAGGAAACCAUGACUAUAUGUUGAUCACAACGAGCUAGUCAACUAGAGGCUCACUAGGGACAUAUUGUGGCCUAUGUAUUCACACGUGUAUUAUGAUUUCCGGAUAAUACAGUUAUAGCAUGAAUAAAAGACAAUUAUCAUGAACAAGGAAAUAUAAUAAUACUUUUAUUAUUGCCUCUAGGGCAUAUUUCCAACAAAAGCAACGGCAUAUGAUCGUCGCAAGUUAGUGGGAGAAAUCUUUGCUCGUCACUGCUGAAGUAAUUCAGUUCAACAGCAUCGGCAUCACUCCAGGGAUAGGUGUUUCGGAGCUCAGCUCGCAAAUCUUUGAAAGAUAUGCUAGUUUCUACCACUUUGGGAUAGAAAAUGAUGAAAUCAAAUGCGGUUUAGUACCACGCAGCACACUAGUUUCCAUUCUAAUCGCCAGCUGGAAAGCCAGCGCGGGAUCAAUCCUAUUUUGUUGAAACAAAGGCUUCAGUUAGCCGGGUAAAAUCGAGCACAAAUUCGAACGAUUCAAGCAAAUAGAAGUCAAAUACGGCCUACAAUACGACUUAGAACGUCAAUUCGAGAGGAAACGAUGCUUACCCCGGUUUAAUCCAUGAAUUAUCUGCCGCGGAUUCAACCCAAUCCUCUCCACGGUCGACAGCAUUCCGAGCGUCCUCACUCAACAUCGCAAUGUAAUCCUAGAUGGGGAGGUGGGCUAUAUCUGGCGGAGACGCGGCGUCGCCGAUGAACGAAAUAGGGGCAUAGGGUGGAGGAAACAACUGCAGUGGACGCAGAACAACGCCGGCGGAGGGGGCGGCGCGGCGCGUCUAGAUCUGUUUCAGAUUCAGACAAGCUGCCCAAUACGCGUCUCCUUGCGGUCCCACCCGUUAGCAAGCAACGGUCAGACGAAGACUCGGCCCCACUCGUCAGCAAUUAACGGUCAAUGGACGGUCUAGACGGCAAACACCCGUUAUGAGCAUUUGUGAGAGUUUCAGCUAAGGAAGAGGGGAAAAGUGAGCAAAAAUUUGGAGCGUGGGGAAAAGUGAGCACAACUAAGGAACUAGGGGCACUAAUUGAAAUAUCCCUUUAUUUAUUGAUUGUCUUCCUUAUGAGUGGCAGUCGGGGACGAGCGAUGGUCUUUUCCUACCAAUCUAUCCCCCUAGGAGCAUGCGCGUAGUACUUCGUUUCGAUAACUAAUAAAAAAUUUCAAUAAGUAUGUGAGUUAUUUAUGACUAAUGUUGAGUCCAUGGAUUAUACGCACUCUCACACGUCCACCAUUGCAAGCCUCUCUUGUGUCAUACAAUUUUCGCCGAUACCAUACCCCACCAUAUACCUUCCUCAAAAUAGCCACCAUACCUACCUAUUAUGGAAUUUCCAUAGCCAUUCCUAGAUAUAUUGCCAUGCAACUUUCCACCGUUCCGUUUAUUAUGACACGCUCCAUCAUUGUCAUAUUGCUUUGUGUGAUCAUGUAGUUGACAUCGUAUUUGUGGCAAAGCCACCGUUCAUAAUUUUUUUCAUACAUGUCACUCUUGAAUCAUUGUACAUCCCGGUACACCGCCGGAGGCAUUCAUAUAGAGUCAUCUUUUGUUCUAAGUAUUGAGUUGUAAGCAAAUAAAAGUGUGAUGAUCAUCAUUAUUAGAGCAUUGUCCCAGUGAGGAAAGGAUGAUAGAGACUAUGAUUCCCCCACAAGUCGGGAUGAGAUUCCGGACGAAAAAUAAAAAAGAAUAAAAAAAGAGAAGGCCAAAAAAAAAGAAAACAAAAAAAUGAGAGAAAAAGAGAGAAGGGGCAAUGCUACUAUCCUUUUACCACACUUGUGCUUCAAAGUAGCACCAUGAUCUUCAUGAUAGAGAGUCUCAUAUGUUUUCACUUUCAUAUACUAGUAGGAAUUUUUCAUUAUAGAACUUGGCUUGUAUAUUCCAAUGAUGGGCUUCCUCAAAAUGCCCUAGGUCUUCAUGAGCAAGCGAGUUGGAUGCACACCCACUUAGUUUCUUUUUGAGAUUUCAUACACUUAUAGCUCUAGUGCAUCCAUUGCAUGGCAAUCCCUACUCACUCACAUUGAUAUCUAUUGAUGGACAUCUCCAUAGCCCAUUGAUACGCCUAGUUGAUGUGAGACUAUCUUCUCCUUUUUGUCUUCUCCACAACCACCAUUCUAUUCCACCUAUAGUGCUAUAUCCAUGGCUCACGCUCAUGUAUUGCGUGAAGAUUGAACUUUUUUGAGAACAUCAAAAGUAUGAAACAAUUGCUUGGCUUAUCAUUGGGGUUAUGCAUGAUUUAAAUAUUUUGUGUGAUGAAGAUAGAGCAUAGCCAGACUAUAUGAUUUUUUAGGGAUGGCUUUCUUUGGCCAUGUUAUUUUGAGAAGACAUGAUUGCUUUGUUAGUAUGCUUGAAGUAUUAUUAUUUUUAUGUCAAUAUUAAACUUUUGUUUUGAAUCUUAUGGAUCUGAAUAUUCUUGCCACAAUAAAGAAGAUUACAUUGAUAAAUAUGUUAGGUAGCAUUCCACAUCAAAAAUUUUGUUUUUAUCAUUUACCUACUCGAGGACGAGCAGGAAUUAAGCUUGGGGAUGUUGAUACGUCUCCAAUGUAUCUAUAUUUUUUGAUGUAUUCAUGCCAUGUUUACAAUAUUUUUACAUGAUUUUGGUAUGAUUUGGUUAGAACUAACCCGGACUGACGUUGUUUUGAGCAGAACUAUCGUGGUGUUGUUUUUGUGCAGAAAUAAAAGUUCUCGGGAUGCACUGAAAAUCAACGGAGAUUUUUUCUGAAAAAUAUAAAAAAUACGGGAACAAAGAGUUACUGGAGGGCAGGCCCGUGGGCUCCACGAGGGUGGAGGGCACCCCCCUAGGGCGCGCCCCUGUGCCUCGUGGACUCUCCGUGGGUCCCCCUGACUUGUUCUCGACGCCAACCUCUUCUAUAAAUACAAAAACCUCCAGAAAAUAACCUAGAUCGGGAGUUCCGCCGCCGCAAGCCUCUGUAGCCACUAAAAACCAAUCGGGACCCUAUCCGGCACCCUACCGGAGGGGGGAAUCAUCACCGGUGGCCAUCUUCGUCAUCCCGACGCUCUCCAUGACGAGGAGGGAGUAGUUCACCCUCGGGGCUGAGGGUAUGUACCAGUAGCUAUGUGUUGAUCUCUCUCUCUCUCUCUCUCUCUCUCUCUCUCUCUCGUGUUCUUGAUAUGGCACGAUCUUGAUGUACCGCGAGCUUUACUGUUAUAGUUGGAUCUUAUGAUGUUUCUCCCCCUCUACUCUCUUCUAAUGGAUUGAGUUUUCCCUUUGAAGUUAUCUUAUGGGAUUGAGUCUUUAAGGAUUUGAGAACACUUUAUGUAUGUCUUGCGUGGGAUACCCGUGGUGACAAUGGGGUAUUCUAUUGAUUCACUUGAUGUAUGUUUUGGUGAUCAACUUGUGGGCUCCGUGACCUUGGGAAUCUAUGCAAAGGGGUUGGGACACGUUUUCGUCUUGACUCUCCGAUAGAAACUUUGGGGCACUCCUUGAAGUUCUUUGUGUUGGUUUGAAUAGAUGAAUCAGAGAUUGUGUGAUGCAUAUCGUAUAAUGAAAAAGUAUGAGCACCGACAACUGGAAUGGUGUGUAAACAUGAAUGUAAUGUCGGUGAGAAAUACGUACUCCCCCAAGCUUAGGCUUUUGGCCUAAGUUGGUCUAUGGCCACGGUUGGCCUGGCGGAUAUCCAAAGUCGUAGUUGGGGUUGUACUGAGAUGCAACAGCUACUACCUGAAGAGUUGCUGCUUGAAGGCGAGCUGCCUCCGUACUCCUCUCAUAUUCAUUUGCCUCCUCCCUGGUUAUAAAAUAUCUCAUGUUUGCCUAAAAGUUAAAGAAAGUAGGAGCAGGGAGAGUAAUAUGGACAGUACACCGCCUGUCAAAGAUUAGUCGGUACUAGAGGAACUGUUCGUUCCUCUCAAGAAACCGAUGGUGAACCAUAGCAUUAUAAUCUAGAUAAGUAGGUGGCAACUCAAUAUCAUUUCCAUUUAUGGGUACACCAAGAUAAUUAGCUACACGAGUUGCAUAAAUUCCACCAAACAAAUUUCCACUUUUACCAUUAAUAUGUAACCUCCGUGCAACAAUGACCCCCAAGUUAUAUUGUUUAUCACCUAAUACCGCACUCUUUGAGGACACUAAGAUCUGGGACGCACAUGUGAGAAAGCUCAUCUUCACCAUUAAUGCAUCUACCUAUAAAGAGAGCAAAGUAAUGUAUGGAAGGGAAAUGAAUGCUCCCUAUGGUAGCUUGUGUGAUCUCUCUAGUUUCUUCCACAAUGAUACUAGCAAGAAAAUCUUUAUAUUCAGAUUUGCGAGGUUCACUAAAGUUGCCCCACUGUGGGAUUUUACAAGUAGUGUUAAAAUCUUCAAGGUCCAUGGUAUAUGAUUAUCAUAGAGAUCAAAUAAACAGUGUGAGUGUUGCGCAUGGAUGAAAAUUUAAACCUCCUCACAAAGGAAUCAGUGAGGUACUAUUAUUGUCAGCACUUAUCUGAUACAAGUCCUCAAGAUCAGCAUUACGUACAUACGUGUCAAAUUCAUCCUUGAAGCCUGCUUGGACCAUAAACUCUUCCGACAACCAUUCACAAGGCUGCACUUGAGCUUCCCUUGGUGGUUCAAGGUCCGGCUCACGUAUCGCGAGCCUUGGUUCUUUCUUCCUUGAAGAACCACCUUGGUACAUUUUCCUAAACAUUUUUCUUCCUCGGAAAAAUUUCUGAAAUUUUUAGUGACUCAAAAAGUGAACCAAACUGAACAAGAUUGAUAGAAACUACUCCCACAAGUACCUAGAAGCUAAAUCAUGCAUUAAAACUACUUUAGACCAUAUAAAUUUGACAUGCAAGCUCAAGAACAGGGUCACCUUAGCAGUAAAAAAUUGCAAUAAAUAAAGGACUAGAACAAAAACUAAUUGGACCAUUGGAGGAGUCACAUACCGAAGAACAAUCCCACAAAGCAGUUUUGUGAAUGGAGCUUUGAGCUAGAAGAUCAAAAAUGGCAGCAAAAUGAGCUAGAACAUGGGUUUGAGCUAUGGGAUGAUUUUUUCUGGAGGAAGACGAAGUGUGUGGGUGCUGGAAUAAGUGGAGGGCGGGGUGUGGGCCCCCUUAUGUUGAUUCUUUUGCCAAUAUUUUUUAUUAAUUCCAAAAGGUGACUCCAUGGAGUUUCAGGUCAUUCCGAGAACUUUUAUUUCUACAAAAAAAAUAACACCAUGGCAGUUCUGCUAAAAACAACGUCAGUCCGAGUUAGUUCCAUUCAAAUCAUGCAAGUUAGAGUCCAAAAUAAGGGCAAAAGUGUUUGGAAAAGUAGAUACGUUGGAGGCGUAUCAACAUGCAUACUCCAAUGUCCCUUCCCUUAUUUUUAUCUCCUAGUUAAAUGACUCAUCAUUCUAAUAUGUUAGAAAAAAUUCACCCAUUCAUGGGCGGGCAAAGACUAUUUUCAUGGAUAUCCAUUGGGUUUGGACAUGGACACAAUUUUUCACCCAUGGAUUUUCUUUCAUGGGCUGGCAAAGACUAUAUUAAUGGAUAUGGAUGUGGAUUUGAUAUUGUUCAACCCGAUCCAAACCCGACCCAUUGCCAUCCUUAGUCGGGGAUGCGAAUUUAUCCCGAAGUUCACACUCGUGAGAGUGCUAAUCUCUGUCAGAGCGAUGACAAAGCCAAAGCUUUGGGGCGUCACCAAGUGACACACCGUAUUCUCCCUUUCGAGUCACCUAGAACGGAUGAGCCUGGAUUCGCUCGGGGUUGGUCUUGAAGGCGACCACCGCACCUUUACAAACUUCUCCGGAGCACACCACAAACACGCAAGCAUCCGGAGCAACUUUACCACCUAGGCCACUUCACACCCUUCCCUAGAGCGCAGCACAAAAGGAAGCUUCCGGAGUAACCUUGACCACAUAGGCCUCUUCACAAACUUCUCAAUAUAUCAACAAACCGUCUAGGAGGCGGAAGCCUCCAAGAGUAAUAAACUCAUGGGCUCUCACUCGAACAAGUCAAUGUAGGGAGCUCAAACCAAUGCAACAAAUGCAAUGCAAGGUCAAGCAACAAAUGCAAUGCAAGGUCAAGCAACAAAUGCUCAACUCACUCUCUCAAUCUCACAAGAUGCACUCUCGAAAGUAGGGCAUUCAACAAAGGGGAUGCCAUGGAUAGAAUCAACAAAUGACUCAAAGAUUCAUCCACAAACCCCCCCCUUCACAUAGAGGGGGGAUAGGGGUUUGGAAGAGGUAGUAAGAGACUCAAAAUGAUGUUUAUAAAGUGUAUAAACAACCCUCAAACCGGAUGGGGGACGAAGCCCUCAAAUAGCCAAACCCCAAAACUAGUCGUUGGGGCUCCAACAGACACUUCCUGGACACCUCGUGCCCACGGGGUCCCGUGUCCACAGUACAAGCCCGUGCCCACGGCCUCAAAACCUCGUGCCCACGAGGUACAUAGAAAUAGCCCAAAGCAGGAAACCAAAACAAGCAUAACUUUGGCAUACGAACUCCGAAUUUGAUGAUCUUGGGCUCGUUUUAAAGCUAUGGAAAAGCCCAAGGUCCUCACAUAGAUAACCACCCAAGAUCAACAAUAAAUAAUGAUGCAAAUCAUGAAAAGGUUUGAGCUCUAUACAUGCGACGUGAUCAAGCUACUUGCCCGAAAGCCCCCCUUGAUAGUACGACUAUCAAACCUAUAAUCCGGUCUCCCUCCAAGCACCAUGAGACCGGAAAAACUAGAAAAACUUAUCUAAGUUAUACCUUUGCCUUGCACAUUCCACUUGAUCUUGAUGAUGACUUUAAUGCUUGCCUCAAGUUGAAAUCAUUUUCUUGUCCACAAUCACUUGGUGAAGAUACUCGAAAUGCUUCCCCAUAUUGCAAUGGGGAAAGCCUUAACUUAAGCUCAUCUUCACAUGCACAUUAUCAUGAUGAGGACCACAAGAUUCAAAGCAUAUAACCUCCAGCUUCUCAUCUUGCACUUGGACACCUCGAACCCGAUGACCAUCACCACUUGAUGUCAUCCACACUAGGCUACUUGAAAUCUUUCUUUUCUAUGCAAGCCCAUGAUAAACUCCUAACCCAAGUAGACAUAAAAAACACAUAAUAUGGGUUAGGUCACAAAGCACAAUUCACAAUUACUUACCAUACCACUAGAUCACUUGAUCCCACGUGGUACAAAGAUUGCACUUUGAGAGUUGACCAUCUAGAUAAUCUUCGAGCUUUGUCUUGGUCAACCAACAUCUUUACUUCAUGCCCCAUCUUGGUUUAUUGAAAGCCACAAUGAACUCUUCACUUCCCGUCAUUGCUUCAAGACUAUAUUACCAAAGAUUCUUCCAUGUCCUUAUCAAGUUCCACUAUGAAUAUCAUCUUGGUCGCCACAUCCUCUCCUAAAACUCCAUCAUAAUCUCUUGAGAGGCACAAUGAAUUCUUCACUUUAGUUGCUUGCUUUAAGACUUGAUAAACCUAAACACAAAAUAUGAGCUCACCAUGAUAUUGUCUUGAAACCAUAACUUGAAUUAUUCUCUUUAAUUAUUCUCUCAAGCCCUUGAUCCUUAAAAGCCCCAAAUAUGUUAAUCUUUGAGAUAUUCCAAUGAACUCCCCCUUGAAAAAAUUUGGUUGGACAUGGAAAUCACCUUAUUGGAUUCAAUAGAAGUCCCCGAAGACCAACUUCAAACCUCAUUGAACAUGCGAUCUCCAAAGCCAAAAACCUAGGCCCUAUUACACGGGGUAUCCAGAGAGUUGACACUCGACCCCGUGCGCACGACACAAGCCCGUGAGCAUGGGGUAUACAGAGAAGGAUACCAUGAGGACUGAAGGAAAUAUUCCCUAGAGGCAAUAAUAAAGUUGUUAUUUUAUAUUUCCUUAUUCAUGAUAAAAUUUUAUUAUUCAUGCUAGAAUUGUAUUGAUCGGAAACUUAAAUACAUGUGUGAAUACAUAAACAAAUACCAUGUCCCUAGUAUGCCUCUACUAGACUAGCUCGUUAAUCAAAAAUGGUUAAGGUUUCCUAACCAUAGACAUGUGUUGUCAUUUGAUAACGGGAUCACAUCAUUAGGAGAAUGAUGUGAUGGACAAGACCCAUCUGUUUGCUUAGCAUAAUGACCGUUCAAGUUUUAUUGAUAUUGCUUUCUUCAUGUUAAAUACAUAUUCCUUCAACUAUGAGAUUAUGCAACUCCCGCAUACCGGAGGAAUACCUUGUGUGCUAUCAAACGUCACAAUGUAACUGGGUGCAUAAAGAUGCUCUAUAGGUAUCUCCAAAGGUGUUUGUUGAGUUGGCAUAGAUCGAGAUUAGGAUUUGUCACUCCGAGUAUUGGAGAGGUAUCUCUGGGCUCUCUCGGUAAUACACAUCAUAAGCUUGCAAGCAAACGACUAAGGAGUUAGUCACAAGGUGAUGUAUGACGGAACAAGUAAAGAGACUUGCCAGUAACGAGAUUUAACUAGGUAUAGACAUACCAACGAUCGAAUCUCGGGCAAGUAACAUACCGAUGGACAUAGGGAAUUACGUAUGUUGUCAUAAUGGUUCGACCGAUAAAGAUCUUCGUAGAAUAUGUAGGAGCCAAUAUGGGCAUCCAGGUUCCACUAUUGGUUAUUGACCAGAGAGGUGUCUCGCUCAUGUCUACAUAGUUCUCAAACCCGUAGGGUCCGCACGCUUAACGUUCGUUGACGAUAUAGUGUUAUAUGAGUUAUGUGAUUUGGUGAAUGAAUGUUGUUCGGAGUCCUUGAUGAGAUCAUGGACAUGGCGAGGAGUCUCGAAAUGGUUGAGAGGUAAAUAAUGAUAUAUAGGAUGAUGGUAUUCGGACACCGGAAGUGUUUUGGAGGGUACUGGGUACUUAUCGCGUCACCGGAAACGAGGUUCGGGCACCCCUGGCAAAGAUAUGGGCCUUAUGGUCCAAGAGAGGGAACACACCAGCCCACAAGGAGCUGGUGCGCCCCUAUAGAGGUCGGCCUUAUGAGGAGGAGAAGGAAAGAGGGGAGGGAAAAGGAAAGUGUGGAGUAGGACUCCCCCUUCCUUCCCUCCCCCCUCUUUGCUUCCACCUUGUUAAUACAAGGAAAGGGGGGCGCAGGCAAGGCAGGGGCCCUAGGGGCCGGCGGCCAGCCCUAGGUCGUGCCUGGCUACCUCCCCUCCCCUCCCACCUAUAUAUAUGGGGAGGGUGCGCCACACAACGGGACACGACAUUGUCUUAGCCGUGUGCGGCGCCCCAUCCACCGUUUACUCCCUCGGUCAUAUUUUCGUAGUGCUUAGGCGAAGCCAUGCGGAGAUCACAUCACAAUCACCGUCACCAUGCCGUCGUGUUGUCAAAACUCAUCUAUUACCUCGCCGUCUUGCUGGAUCAAGAAGGCGGAGGACGUCAACGAGCUGAACGUGUGCAGAACGCGGAGGUGUCGUACGUUUGGUACUUGAUCGGUUGGAGCGCGAAGAAGUUCAACUACAUCUAUCGCGUUGUUAAACGCUUCCGCUUACGGUCUACGAGGGUACGUAGACACGCUCUCCCCUCUCGUUGCUAUGCAUCUCCUUCAUAGAUCUUGCAUGUGCGUAGAAUUUUUUUUGUUUUCCAUGCAAUGUUCCCCAACAAGGACUUUUUAGAUGCUUUGAUGGCAUUCUUCACAAAACAACCCAAUGCACUUCAAGCAUCACUAUGAAACAUAUCUUCAUAUAUGAUUCAAUACAGUUGAUGCUCCAUAGGAAUUGUCAUUUAACACCAAGCUUAGAGCAAAUUUAUCUUCAUAUAUAUGGACUUCAUCGUUGAUUCCAUCUAGUAUCCUUUAUGCACCAACUAUGGACAAUACCGUCAAAUAUAUCUCAGUGAAAACAUUAGUCCAUAAAGAUUGUCCUUAAUUAACAAAAUCACAUUUAGGGGCUACAUGCCCUUUCAGUAACAUUGAUAGACAAAGUCGACUCUAUCUUCUUUGGCGAGGUGCCCUACCACUCAAAAUCAACAUGUUUCUAUGGCAGCUCUUACGAAACCAUCUUCCUACACCGAUGCACAUUGCUAACUUCAACGAGUUGUUUGAUGGGAUUUGUGCUUUACGUUCCCAAAUGGAGAACAUCAACAUCAUUUUGCUUCAUGUUCUGUAGCUGAAUUUGUAUGCACUUCUGCCAUCAUAGGCAUGUGAUUAGGCUCUGAUUGGACCCCCUCCCAGUCAGCUUCCAAACUUGUGGUCUUCAUGCUAUGUGCAAAGAGUUGUUUGGCGUUGCUUUGCUGCCCUAGUGUGAGCUUCAUGGAUUAUACACAAUGAACGAACACGAAUGUUCUAAUCAUGCUCGGGUGAACAGUAAAAAAUAAAUAGAAAAAGCAUUUUGGAGCAUUGAUUUUCUCUUUUUUUGCCAAUUUUCCGCAAAUGUCAUCCGGUGAUGAAAUUUGCAAACAAUGAAAACAUUUGUCAAUGUUUGACACAAAUAAAUUCAGAAUAUAUAUUUUUCCAUUUUUUUGAUUUUACUGUUCACCCGAGCUCACAUGAGCUCGGAAUAAGAACAACACUUGCGCGCAGUAAACUUGCUAUUGAAAAGUUGUUUUCAAUCCAGCCAAUUGCAUUUUCAAUUGUGUUUUCCCCCUCCAGCUAUGGGUGUCGCUCGGGAGAUGAAAGACAUGGCUGGUGCGACCAAAGCGUUGUACAACCUUAAACAUAUACAUGCCAUCAACUGGAGGCGACGUCGCCUCCCAUGAAUGGUGCCCCACAUAGUGUCUUUUAUUUUUCCGAGUCAAAACAUACUCUACCUCUCUAUCAGAUACUUUUUAGCGGUUGGGAGCGCGCCUUGCUUUCUUGUGUGUAGUUUUUGUUUUGAGGGAAGACCAUCAUGGCGACUCUUGUGUGUAGUUUUGUUUUUUUUCAAGACUUUCUAACUCGCCAACCUUAGGCCUCCUUUGGUUCAUAGGGUAGGAAAAUCGUAGGAAUAGAAAAAUAAUAAAGAAUGAGAUGAUAUGUAUCUCAAAUUCUAUUAGUAGGAAUAGGAAAGGAGAUGCCCUCUGAUUCACAUCAUAGGAUUUUUUUUAUUAAGUCUAGACUAAUGUUUAGGCUUCCUUCGGUUUGUAGGAAUUUUAUAGGAUUUCUAUAGGAUAGGAUUUGCAUAGAAAAAUUUCCUUUGAAGUCCUUCGGUUUGUAGGAAUGAAUUCCUAUUCCUAUGUAGGAUAGGAAUCAAUCCUUUACAUUUUGGAGGAAAUAAAGUUAGUUAAGACUCAAUGAAAAAAUUCAUAUCCUAUGCAUCAAAUGACAUCUCUUUCUCUAUAGGAAUUGAGGUGCAUAUCAUCUCUCUUCCUACGAUUUUCCUAUUCCUAUAACAUUCCUAUCCUAUGAAUCAAAGGAGGCCUUAUUUUCCUAUGAAAUAUGAGGGUAGGAAGAAUUCCUCCAUAGGUAUAGGAUUUCAUUCCUACAAACCAAAUGGCUCUAAAGGAAUUUUUCCUAUAGAUAUCAUAUCAUAUGAAAUUCUUACAAGAUUCCUCUAAACCAAAGGAGGCCUAAGUUUUCGUUUUGUUAAUUUAAAGCCGGAGGUUGCUUGCGCUUCUUUAAACUUUUAAUUUGCACAUAAAAUGAAGUACACCGAAAUUGUAAGCAAAAUAUCCUCAUCUGAGCAAAAUUGAAUAACUUUGAAAACCGAUUUAGCUCCAGAAGGAAUCAAAUUACUCCUUUGUUUCCAAUUAUAAGAUAUUUUAAAUAUUUUAAUAUAGACUGCACACAGAUUGAAAUGAGGGAAUAAAUAUAUUAAAACGUGUGUGUAUACAUCUGAUUCUGAAAAAAACAUAUUAUCUUCAUCCCUAAUUAGUUAAAUCACAUUUGUCUAAAUACGGAUGUACCUAGGCAUGAUAGUCGUAUCGUAUUUUAUAAAUACGGAUGCACCUAACGCUAAAUACGUGUCUAGAUACAUCCGUACCUGGACAAAUUUGAGUCAACUAAUUAUAUGGCAUGGAAUCACAUUUUGCUGGCGCCAUUAGUUUGCUCAACACCCGAAAUUAAUUUCCAAAAACUGAAGAACGUUAAAUUGGCCAGUAGCUAAUUGCAAAUCGCAUAAUUAGCGUUAACCAUUUUCAGUUUUUGAAAACUGCCCACUAGAGACGCGCACGGGCCACCAUGCUCGUCCAACGACCGCCACGCGUCUUGAGACCGGAUAGGUGGGCACGAGUCGCUGUCGUCGGGUCUUCCACCACCACCAUCCGAUGCCAUCCAACGGCCCAUGCCCGCCCCACUCCCCCGACUUCUAUAUAACCAGAACCCACGAUCCGGGUCCGACCCCCCCUACGCCGUGCUGUGCUCGAGUGUCAACGUCAUCCCCUAGCCUCCCGCCGCCGUCGCCGCCCCCGCCGCCACAAGCGAACAAGGUGAGGCGCCCUCCCCUGCCGCCCUUCUUCUUCUUCUUCUUCUUCUUCAUUUUGCUUAAGCUCGUUCCGAUCUAGUAGGCUGCUUCAUUUUGCUUCCGUUGCUAUCUAUCUUCGCUCCGAUCUGGUACGCGUUUGUCGCUUAGGGCUUUAGAAACGGCCGCCUCUUGAUCCGUCGCCCCGGUACUUCGCGGUGAAAUUUGCGCUUAUUUUCUUGACAACUUGUUGUCUAGAGGAAGUAUCGCCCAGGUUCGCAGUGACGAGCUAGAUCCUCUUGAUUGGGGAUUUCGCCACCCUUUUAUCUCUCUAAAAUCCUUGGGAGAUUGGGUGUACUGCGACCAUUAUUCGUCCUGUGAACCAGUCGAGGGAUUAGCGUUAGUAGUGAUGAGCAGGGCUUGUUCUGUACGCAGAGAUUUAUAGUGCCCUGUCCUUUUAUCUGGGAUUUAGUGCUGAACAAUGGAUUGCGAGCAGUAGUUUGGUCACAGUACAUUUUUUUUAUAGUAGUUCACAGUGCAAUUGGAUAGGUACCUUUAUGCUGCGAAAUAGUGGCUGGGAUUUAGUGCUGGACAGUGGAUAAAUUGUUUGGUCACAGUGCAAUUGGAUAGGUACCUUGUGCUGCGAAUAAUACUGGAUUAUGUUGUUCUUAGAACCUUGUCCUGGGAAGAAUAGAAUUUAUACUGCUGUGUCCCGAGAUGCUGAUUCGCAGGUUACAGCCCUGCGGAGUUGAGUGCAACGGGUUAUUCUUUUAUUCGUUGAAUCUUGUCCUGUUUGUGCAACUUGAUUAUUUUAGGAUGCUUUGAUUAGGAUCUUGUAUGUGUAUUUCUUGUCCCUACUGCUGCCAACUUUUUACAAUAGGGAGCAGAACGACUUGUGCACAUUCACACAACUGCUAACACUCAUGAGCAGUUCACUAGAUGACGAUCAUGAUUGUAAUGAGUUUAAUAAAGUAAAAUUGUUUGGAUGUAUGUCAGAUCUGGUAAUUUAAAUCUAAGUUUCUAACCUCUAGAAUGUUCGAUGACACCUUUUUGUUCUUAUGACACAAUUUAUGUUCUGAGACACUGAUCACCUUUUGUUUAGGCCAAAGAAGAUGGCUGAAGUUGAAACCUUCCUCUUCACGUCUGAGUCUGUCAAUGAGGGGCACCCUGACAAGCUCUGCGACCAGAUAUCUGAUGCUGUGCUAGAUGCAUGCCUGGCUGAAGACCCUGACAGCAAGGUUGCUUGUGAGACAUGCACCAAGACCAACAUGGUCAUGGUUUUCGGUGAGAUCACUACCAAGGCCAAUGUUGACUAUGAGAAGAUUGUCAGGGAUACUUGCCGUGGCAUCGGUUUUGUGUCCAAUGAUGUAGGGCUUGAUGCUGACCACUGCAAGGUACUUGUCAACAUUGAGCAGCAGUCCCCUGACAUCGCGCAGGGUGUCCAUGGCCACUUUACCAAGCGGCCUGAGGAGAUUGGCGCUGGUGACCAGGGCCAUAUGUUUGGAUAUGCAACUGAUGAGACUCCGGAGUUCAUGCCCCUCAGCCAUGUUCUUGCUACCAAGCUUGGUGCUCGUCUCACCGAGGUCCGCAAGAACGCCACCUGCCCGUGGUUGAGGCCUGAUGGCAAGACCCAGGUGACUGUGGAGUAUCACAAUGACAAUGGUGCUAUGGUCCCUAUACGUGUCCACACUGUGCUCAUUUCCACCCAGCACGAUGAGACAGUGACCAAUGAUGAGAUUGCUGCUGAUCUGAAGGAGCAUGUGAUUAAGCCUGUCAUCCCAGAGCAGUACCUUGAUGAGAAUACCAUCUUCCAUCUCAACCCAUCUGGCCGCUUUGUCAUUGGUGGACCUCACGGUGAUGCUGGUCUCACUGGCAGGAAGAUCAUCAUUGACACCUAUGGUGGCUGGGGAGCUCAUGGUGGAGGCGCUUUCUCUGGCAAGGACCCGACCAAGGUUGACCGCAGUGGUGCAUAUGUUGCCAGGCAGGCGGCGAAGAGCAUUGUUGCAAGCGGCAUUGCCCGCCGCUGCAUCGUCCAGGUGUCUUAUGCUAUUGGCGUGCCUGAACCACUCUCGGUGUUUGUCGACACAUACGGCACGGGCAAGAUCCCUGACAAGGAGAUCCUCGAGAUUGUCAAGGAGAACUUUGACUUCAGGCCAG
Molecule: long non-coding RNA, 21113 nt
Filed under: Triticum aestivum (bread wheat)
Lineage: Eukaryota; Viridiplantae; Streptophyta; Magnoliopsida; Poales; Poaceae
Description: long non-coding RNA (TAES_LNC011706)
Source: RNAcentral